This 140-nucleotide transfer-messenger RNA is filed under the name Escherichia coli. RNAcentral describes it as "partial transfer-messenger RNA". It matches the Rfam family "transfer-messenger RNA", at positions 227 to 374 of the family's 374-position model. Rfam says of the family: Bacterial tmRNA, also known as 10Sa RNA or SsrA, is named for its dual tRNA and mRNA-like properties. The record is from RNAcentral. Lineage: Bacteria; Pseudomonadati; Pseudomonadota; Gammaproteobacteria; Enterobacterales; Enterobacteriaceae.
AGAGCACUAAAAACAAGUAAAACAAGCAAACACAGAUUAACAUUAACAUCAUGAUUUAAAAUGAGAAAAUAUGAUUUCGUUAGUAUAAAAAUGGUAUGUAGGAAUUUCGGACGCGGGUUCAACUCCCGCCAGCUCCACCA